UAGGGAAUCUUCCGCAAUGGACGCAAGUCUGACGGAGCAACGCCGCGUGAGUGAAGAAGGAUUUCGGUUCGUAAAACUCUGUUGUUAGAGAAGAACAGCGCAUAGAGUAACUGUUAUGCGUGUGACGGUAUCUAACCAGAAAGCCACGGCUAACUACGUGCCAGCAGCCGCGGUAAUACGUAGGUGGCAAGCGUUGUCCGGAUUUAUUGGGCGUAAAGCGAGCGCAGGCGGUCAAUUAAGUCUGAUGUGAAAGCCCCCGGCUCAACCGGGGAGGGUCAUUGGAAACUGGUUGACUUGAGUGCAGAAGAGGAGAGUGGAAUUCCAUGUGUAGCGGUGAAAUGCGAAGUUAUAUGGAGGAACGCCAGUGGCGAAGGCGACUCUCUGGACUGUAACUGACGCUGAGGCUCAGAAGCGUGGGUAGCAAACAGG
RNAcentral lists this ribosomal RNA (429 nucleotides) under Bacteroidota bacterium. RNAcentral's name for it is "Bacteroidetes bacterium partial 16S ribosomal RNA". It matches the Rfam family "Bacterial small subunit ribosomal RNA", at positions 355 to 776 of the family's 1533-position model. The record is from RNAcentral. Lineage: Bacteria; Pseudomonadati; Bacteroidota.